CUGGCGGCGUGCCUAAUACAUGCAAGUCGAGCGAAUGACAAGGAGCUUGCUCCUUUGAUUAGCGGCGGACGGGUGAGUAACACGUGGGUAACCUACCCUAUAGACUGGGAUAACUUCGGGAAACCGGAGCUAAUACCGGAUAAUACUUUUGAACACAUGUUCGAAAGUUGAAAGAUGGUUUCGGCUAUCACUAUAGGAUGGACCCGCGGCGCAUUAGCUAGUUGGUGGGGUAAUGGCUCACCAAGGCAACGAUGCGUAGCCGACCUGAGAGGGUGAUCGGCCACACUGGGACUGAGACACGGCCCAGACUCCUACGGGAGGCAGCAGUAGGGAAUCUUCCACAAUGGACGAAAGUCUGAUGGAGCAACGCCGCCGUGAGUGAAGAAGGAUUUCGGUUCGUAAAACUCUGUUGCAAGGGAAGAACAAGUAGCGUAGUAACUGGCGCUACCUUGACGGUACCUUGUUAGAAAGCCACGGCUAACUACGUGCCAGCCGCGGC
RNAcentral lists this ribosomal RNA (499 nucleotides) under uncultured bacterium. RNAcentral describes it as "bacterial SSU rRNA". It matches the Rfam family "Bacterial small subunit ribosomal RNA", at positions 36 to 518 of the family's 1533-position model. The record is from RNAcentral.